CAGGGAUGCCUGUUAGUCAUGGUAUUGUCAGGGCCAAAUGCAGGAUAGUUCGAUCGCUGGAGGACGCAGACACCAUACAGCAAGGAGAGAUAUUAAUAGUGCCGUACACGGACAUCGGAUGGUCACCUUACUUCCCUCUCGUGUCCGGUCUGUGCACAGAGAUGGGAGGCCUUGGAUCACACGGAGCUGUGGUAGCAAGAGAAUACGGACUGCCAUGCAUUGUGUCAGCGAAGAAAGCGACGUAUGUCUUCAAAACAGGUAUGUAUUAUUCUG
Long non-coding RNA from Priapulus caudatus, 273 nucleotides. RefSeq lists it as uncharacterized. NCBI's taxonomy places the organism in Eukaryota, Metazoa, Priapulida, Priapulimorpha, Priapulimorphida, Priapulidae. The transcript has 3 exons. The record is from RefSeq and is a predicted model, not a curated record.